RNAcentral lists this ribosomal RNA (500 nucleotides) under uncultured bacterium. RNAcentral describes it as "partial 16S ribosomal RNA". It matches the Rfam family "Bacterial small subunit ribosomal RNA", at positions 30 to 523 of the family's 1533-position model. The record is from RNAcentral.
AUUGAACGCUGGCGGAAUGCUUUACACAUGCAAGUCGAACGGCAGCACGGACUCCGGUCUGGUGGCGAGUGGCGAACGGGUGAGUAACAUAUCGGAACGUAUCCAAUAAUGGGGGAUAACUAAUCGAAAGGUUGGCUAAUACCGCAUACGCCCUAUGGGGGAAAGCUAGGGACCUUCGGGCCUGGCGUUAAUGGAGCGGCCGAUAUCUGAUUAGCUAGUUGGUGGGGUAAAGGCCCACCAAGGCGACGAUCAGUAGCUGGUCUGAGAGGACGACCAGCCACACUGGAACUGAGACACGGUCCAGACUCCUACGGGAGGCAGCAGUGGGGAAUUUUGGACAAUGGGCGCAAGCCUGAUCCAGCCAUUCCGCGUGAGUGAAGAAGGCCUUCGGGUUGUAAAGCUCUUUCGCAAGGGAAGAAAACUUAGCCACUAACAUUGGCUGAGGUUGACGGUACCUUGAUAAGAAGCACCGGCUAACUACGUGCCAGCCGCCGCGGUAA